RNAcentral lists this ribosomal RNA (400 nucleotides) under uncultured bacterium. Its description in RNAcentral is "bacterial SSU rRNA". It matches the Rfam family "Bacterial small subunit ribosomal RNA", at positions 359 to 776 of the family's 1533-position model. The record is from RNAcentral.
GAAUCUUAGACAAUGGGGGAAACCCUGAUCUAGCCAUGCCGCGUGGACGAUGAAGGCCUUAGGGUUGUAAAGUCCUUUCAGCUGGGAAGAUAAUGACGGUACCAGCAGGAGAAGCACCGGCUAACUCCGUGCCAGCAGCCGCGGUAAUACGGAGGGGGCUAGAGUUGUUCGGAAUUACUGGGCGUAAAGCGCACGUAGGCGGAUUGGAAAGUCAGAGGUGAAAUCCCGGGGCUCAACCCCGGAACUGCCUUUGAAACUAUCAGUCGAGAGUUCGAGAGAGGUGAGUGGAAUUCCGAGUGUAGAGGUGAAAUUCGUAGAUAUUCGGAGGAACACCAGUGGCGAAGGCGGCUCACUGGCUCGAUACUGACGCUGAGGUGCGAAAGCGUGGGGAGCAAACAGG